AAAGGGUCUCUAUUGUAUAAUAACUUCUUAUUGACUUCUCGAUUGCUCCGUAUUUAAAUUCUGUUUCAUUUUGUAGGUUACUACAUUUGGAGCUCUCACUUCUCGACCGAUCCUCGACUUAUUUGUCGAGCAUUUCCUUCCUGAUAUGAUGUUUCGGACAGCAAUUUUGACGGCUCUUUGUUUAGCAAGCAUCUUUGCUGAAGAGAAACAGAUAACCCUUGUUGUGUUCACUGAUCUAAACUCAGGCCGCAACAACGAAGCUUAUAAUAAUAAAACUACUCUGACGACAUCUAAGGUUGAUGACGACCUGGAAGGAAUGAUGUAUGAGGCAGGUAUAUGGUUCGACUAUUCUGGAUCGGAGUUACUCGAACUUGAGAUGGAAGAUGGAACCAGAAUAAAGGCAGACUCUGAGCAGAAUGAGUACUGGGAGAUACUUCUACUAACCGGGGAGAAGAGGGAGCCGUUGGAACUCGGGCUAGAUUACGUGCCGGUUAACGGUGAUAAAGUGCUCAUCAGAUUGGAAAAUGGGGAAGGUGGAGACGUUUAUGCAAGUGGCGCUGUGGUCGCUGAUCCAAGGGUUUGGUUCCUCACAUUUUCUGUGAUGGGUUCCUUAAUGGGUUCCUUAACACGCUGGAUAAACUAAAAAUGAUGCUCACGAAAUCUCUGGUGUAUCUGGACGAGAUAGUGUUUAUAAAACAAACAAACAUUUGUAAUUUAAAUUAGGAGGAACCUAUUUUGAUAUGGACGAUGGACGA
Bolinopsis microptera is the source of this 755-nucleotide long non-coding RNA. RefSeq lists it as uncharacterized. The record is from RefSeq and is a predicted model, not a curated record. The transcript is spliced from 2 exons. NCBI's taxonomy places the organism in Eukaryota, Metazoa, Ctenophora, Tentaculata, Lobata, Bolinopsidae.